ACCAACACAGUAGACUUUCUCCUACUCCAAUUGCUUUUCUUUACGUUUCAGUCAUCACACAUUUUUCCCAUUUUCCUCCAGAAAAAGUGUCUUUUGAGAUAAAAAUCUUAGUUCUUAGUCAUAGAAAAGCCUUAUCAAGUCACCUUAAACAAUGUCUGCAAAGAAACAAAAAAGUGACACGGUGUUUUGGUACAAAUGUGAGAAAUGCGGUGUGCACAUAACCUCAAAGAAGACAGCUUCCCAUCCAAAGAUCUGCCCAAUUUCUGAAAAAUCCACAAAUACCAGCUUUAUCUCUGCCUCUUGUCUCUAUACAAAUGAAGUGGAAGGUAUUCCAGUGCCUGACACAAUCGCUAGUUUGGAUUCUUCCCAGAUAUCCAAAUUGCUGUUCAUCGGAAGCUCAGCAAUGACGCUCUGUGGAUGGGCAUCCGGAGAUGAGGUUCUGAUAACAAUCCCAAAGGACCAAGCUUUUGUUCCUCGGAUCAGAAAGGUGUUUGCCCAAUCAGUAGAUUCCUACUCAUCAGUCUGUUUUGCAGAAAAUGAAUUCACCCAGAACUGGUUAGAAUACCAUGGGAAGCAGUUAAAGAUUUCUGCAAUACCCUCGGAAAUAUUCCCUGCAGAAAAGGUUGAAUUUUGCCUGCGGGAAGGGCAGGAAAUUGACGAGGAACAUGCGAAAGAUUUACUUCAGAGCCUGAAAUUUGAUUUGGGCAGUUGGGUAAUUUUCAGAGGAUCCCAGCAUUCUCUGAAAUUUUUUGGUAGAAUUUACAAUUUUGAAGUAAAAUCUGUGAAUUCGGAGGAUAUUGUCGAGAAGCUGAGGAAUUUGAAUCUCAGGCGAGAAGGGGAUUGUUUGGAAUUCUUCCGGAUAAAUUACAGAAGUGAGUUUUCCCUUGCUACGGGAUGUGUUAGGAAGGGGAAAGAGGAAGGAAGUGGAGAAAGUGAACAAGUGGUGAUUGGAGGAAUGGAUAAGUUGAUAGAAGAUGCGAGGGAGUUGAUGAAGUCAGCGUUUGGGGAAGUUCCCGGGAGGAAAAUGAGAAUUCCCCAUGGGAUUUUAUUUCACGGUCCUGCGGGAUGUGGAAAAAGUCUGAUUUGCAAUUUUCUGGCGGGGACAGCAAAUUCCAAAGUGGUUACGGUCAAUCCUCAUAGGAUUUUUAGUAAAUUUUUGGGGGAAGCUGAAGUGAGUCUCAAUAGACUGUUCCAGGAAGCUCUGAAGAACUUCCCAGAUCCUACUGUCAUCGUUAUCGAUGACAUUCACAUUCUCUGUCCAAGGAAUGAGUCCACGGAUGCUGUCAGGCGAGUUUCUGCCACUCUGCUGAAGCUUCUCGAUGAACUGCCCUUCCGGAAGGAUGGUAGCAGGAUCUUUGUGUUAGCUGCCACGACAGAUUUGGAAAAAACUAAUCCUGCUCUUCGGCGCAGUGGCCGCCUUGAUUGCACAAUGGAGAUUUCUGUGCCCACUCCUGACCAGAGGCACGAUAUCCUCAGGAAAUUACUGGACAGUGUACCCAAUGGAAUCCGGGAAGAAGAUAUCCGGAAGCUGUCUAAAGGGACUCAUGCUUUUGUCGGAGCAGAUUUAUCAGCCUUGGUGGGCAAGGCGGUUGGGAAUGCGGCAAAAAGAAAUGCCCAGGUUUCCCUGAAUGAUCUCAAUUGGGCUCUCAGCUCAGUCAGUCCCAGUGCAAUGAAGGAAGUUCUGAUUGAGGUGCCCAAUGUCCGUUGGGAAGACAUUGGGGGGCAGCAUGAGUUGAAAUUGAAGCUGAAGCAGGCAAUUGAGUGGCCACUGACGAAUCCUGAGAUCUUUCCCAGAUUCGGAAUUGAUCCUCCGAGGGGUGUUCUGAUGUACGGUCCUCCAGGAUGUUCAAAAACCAUGAUAGCUAAGGCUCUGGCCACAGAGAGCCGGCUGAAUUUCCUCACGAUCAAGGGACCAGACAUCUUUUCAAUGUGGGUCGGUGAAUCCGAAAGAGCCGUCCGGGAGUUGUUCCGGAAGGCUCGUAGCGUGGCUCCUUCGAUUAUUUUCUUCGACGAAAUUGACGCAAUUGGAGCUGAACGGGGUUCAGAUUCCGGAUCGUCAGUCAAGGAACGCGUCCUGGCACAAUUACUCACCGAAUUGGAUGGAGUCACAUCUCUGGACAAUGUGACAAUCGUCGCAGCGACCAAUCGUCCCGAUCUCAUCGAUAGGGCUCUACUUCGUCCAGGACGUAUUGACAGAAUCAUCUUCGUGGGACUCCCAGACACAAACACUCGCCGGGAGAUUUUCUCAAUAAAACUGAAGAAGAUGCCCGUAGGCAAGGAUUGCAGUGUUGAAAAGUUAGUUGAACUCACGGAAAACUAUUCAGGAGCAGAAAUUCAGGCCAUUUGCAGAGAAGCUGGAAUUUCUGCCCUGGAAGAAUCUUUGGAAGCGACAGAAGUUUCCUGGAGACACUUUCAGCGGGCAUUGAAUCUGAUAAGGCCCAGAACGAGCCAGGAAUUGCUGAAAAUCUACAAAGAGUACGAGAAGGACUUUCAGGCGCAGCAAUAGUACCUCUUUCCAAAGAAAUGGUCUAUGCGGAUAAAUAGAUGGCGCAAUUCGAACGGAAAACGAGGAACGACGUGGCAGGGGAUUUAGUUUAAGAUGAACCGUGACACGAGCAAGAUGUUAUAUGAAAUUGACACAAUUAAAUUGUUCAUAAAGUAUCCAAAAAAUGUGGUGUACUUGGUGCUAACGAAGGAGAGAAUGCUUGAACAGAGUCAAAGAGGAGGAAUCGAAAUAAAAGUGUGGCGAGACACAUUUUAAUAGUGUUGUCAAAGAAGUGAUAUAAAAAAAAAGUUUAAAUAAAAAAAAUCAGAGACAAUAUACAAAAAAAAGUGAGAGAGAUAUCUUAUCUAUUUAAGAAGUAAAAGAAGCAACUGCAAGUGUGUGGCAAAGUGAGAAAAAUUUUCACCUGAAAAAAGUGACAAUUUUUGUGCAAGUGUACUCCCAUGAUAUAUUUGCUAUUUCAACACCCAAAGAGAUUGCCAGUGAAUGAAAGUGGGGGAAGAUGUUAAUUCUCGUGAAUUACAUGAGUUUCUGGAGCUUCAGAAAAAGGAGGUAUUGUCGUUGAAAAAAUAAAAUUUCUUCUGGUGAAUUACUUCUUCUGAGAGACAACAAACAACGGUCGAAAGAAAGCAGCUGGAGGAGAGAGAAUUUUGUUGUCGUGGUCUUUUUGGUUCUUUUUGUUGUUGUUGCUGUAUUCUGGUGUUCCUCCAAAAAAGGGGGAUUGCACAACGGUGAAACAUCUUGAAGUUGACGAAAGCCAGGCUGAAAAGACGCGGAAGACGCGAUUUGACGGUGGUUUGGAAGAAAAGAACGAGGGAAGAAGAAGUACGUGAAUUGAUUGAAGAAGGAGGGAUCAAGUAAAAAAUGAUUACAAAUCAACCUCAUUCAUCCAUUUUCAAUAUUGUGAUACUGCUCCUGUGGCUGAUGACCGGCAGUGAAUGUGGUCAUCACCCUCAAAGUCACCAGCACAGCCACAAUCACUACCACGAGCACCGGCAUCACCAUCAUCAGUUGCAAUCGGGUGUUGAUGAUCGUGGCAAUUUUACAGCUGCUCACCGUCACAAGAGGCCACUGUUCAAUGAAAAGACAGAUCGCGAACGCAUCCAGGAGGCAGUUCGUGCUCUAAGGCAGCCCGUGCAUAGAUUGCACAUCAAAACCUCCACUCCACGUGCCAGUAUUAUUUCCCCAACAGAAGCCACCCAUCAUCACAGACUGAGGCACCAUUAUGAUCAUCAUAGGUGGCGACAGGAGACCACCAGAUCACCCACGUCGUCUCAUGCCAGACAUCAGGUGCCGUGGUGGGGCGUAGACUCCCCGUCCAGCGACGCCAGGAAGCAUCAACGCUGGCCACAGCACAGCAAAGGCUACAGCAGCCACAGUCGAAAUCACGAUCGGAGCCACUCGAGGCAUCACGAUCGUAUGGAUCGGGAAGAGAUUCACUACCACACAACCUCCAUCCGGCCGGUGAGGGCUUCUCCGCGGGGAAGUCCCGGAGAGGCGAUUACCACUGGCAGACACAGAGCGGCGAGUCUGCUGCUAAAGUCAAAUGAACGGUCAUCGCGAAUGGGUCAUGGGGUCAGUGAUAAGAGGACCUAUGACGAUGACGAAUACCACGAUGAUGAGGAGCAAGUGGAGAGCCUGAGAAAUUCCACAACAUUCUACACUUCACAGAGGCGAAGAUCCUAUGUAAGUGAAUUUUCCUCAAUAUCUUGCAUAAUUCUAUUUUUACUCAUCCAUCUGUGUAUAUGAUUUUCAAACACUGACUCACGGUUUUAGCACAAAUCAUCAACUCCACUAUUUUCCAAUAUUAAAUCUGACAUACAAUGACAAAUUGAUUAGCAAUCAAUUUGAACAUUAAAUGUUUGAUGUUGAAUUAAUAACAUUUCACUUUGUGGCAAAUUCUCGGAAAACUAAUUGGAAUCAUUCUGUCUCACAAAAAAUAAUCAAAGAGUUUCAUUAACCCUUGGUUGCUACCAAAAAAUCGAACUUGGGUUUAAGAAACAAAACUAAUUUAAAAGGAACCUGUUUAAUAAAUCCCACUUCUGAUAAUAAUGAAAAAAUCAAGCAGUUCAGAUCAGUUGAUUUUCCACCAAUACGUUCUUCGCCGUCUUAGCGUUGAUUUCGACCUCCGAAACUAAACGAUGAACAAACACUUUCAUUGUUUCUAUGGUUGAUUGUUAACAAGAAACGAAUAAAACCAAAUAAAAAAUAUAAAUAAAUACCAAAAAUCAAUAAUUUCUACUAAAAAA
Phlebotomus papatasi is the source of this 4752-nucleotide RNA transcript. It is a transcript of the gene named ribosome biogenesis protein SPATA5, with no coding region annotated. The transcript has 4 exons. NCBI's taxonomy places the organism in Eukaryota, Metazoa, Arthropoda, Insecta, Diptera, Psychodidae. The record is from RefSeq and is a predicted model, not a curated record.